GCGGCGAACGGGUGAGUAACACGUGGGUGACCUGCCCUCAGCUCUGGGAUAAGCCUGGGAAACUGGGUCUAAUACCGGAUAUGACCUUCUGUCGCAUGGCAGUGGGUGGAAAGUUUUUCGGCUGGGGAUGGGCCCGCGGCCUAUCAGCUUGUUGGUGGGGUGAUGGCCUACCAAGGCGACGACGGGUAGCCGGCCUGAGAGGGCGACCGGCCACACUGGGACUGAGACACGGCCCAGACUCCUACGGGAGGCAGCAGUGGGGAAUAUUGCGCAAUGGGCGAAAGCCUGACGCAGCGACGCCGCGUGGGGGAUGACGGCCUUCGGGUUGUAAACCUCUUUCGCCAUCGACGAAGCCUUUGGGUGACGGUAGGUGGAGAAGAAGCACCGGCCAACUACGUGCCAGCAGCCGCGGUAAUACGUAGGGUGCGAGCGUUGUCCGGAAUUAUUGGGCGUAAAGAGCUCGUAGGCGGUGUGUCGCGUCGGUCGUGAAAACUUGGGGCUUAACUCUGAGCUUGCGGUCGAUACGGGCAUCACUUGAGUUCGGCAGGGGAGACUGGAAUUCCUGGUGUAGCGGUGAAAUGCGCAGAUAUCAGGAGGAACACCGGUGGCGAAGGCGGGUCUCUGGGCCGAUACUGACGCUG
Molecule: ribosomal RNA, 641 nt
Filed under: Pseudonocardia sp. I12A-02947
Lineage: Bacteria; Bacillati; Actinomycetota; Actinomycetes; Pseudonocardiales; Pseudonocardiaceae
Description: bacterial SSU rRNA
Rfam family: Bacterial small subunit ribosomal RNA
Source: RNAcentral